UGCUUAACACAUGCAAGUCGAACGAAGCAUUUGCGACGGAGUCUUUCGGGAUGAAGAUGCUUAUGACUGAGUGGCGGACGGGUGAGUAACGCGUGGGUAACCUGCCUUAUACAGGGGGAUAGCAGUUGGAAACGACUGGUAAUACCGCAUAAGCGGCACAGUAUCGCAUGAUACGGUGUGAAAAACUGAGGUGGUAUAAGAUGGGCUCGCGUCCGAUUAGAUAGUUGGUGAGGUAACGGCUCACCAAGUCGACGAUCGGUAGCCGGACUGAGAGGUUGAACGGCCACAUUGGGACUGAGACACGGCCCAGACUCCUACGGGAGGCAGCAGUGGGGAAUAUUGCACAAUGGGCGAAAGCCUGAUGCAGCAACGCCGCGUGAGGGAAGACGGUUUUCGGAUUGUAAACCUCUGUUUCGGUGACGAACAAAUGACGGUAACCGAGUAGGAAGCCACGGCUAACUACGUG
This 466-nucleotide ribosomal RNA is filed under the name uncultured bacterium. RNAcentral describes it as "bacterial SSU rRNA". It matches the Rfam family "Bacterial small subunit ribosomal RNA", at positions 45 to 507 of the family's 1533-position model. The record is from RNAcentral.